RNAcentral lists this transfer RNA (71 nucleotides) under Locusta migratoria (migratory locust). RNAcentral's name for it is "transfer RNA-Val". Lineage: Eukaryota; Metazoa; Arthropoda; Insecta; Orthoptera; Acrididae. The record is from RNAcentral.
CAAGACAUAGCUUUUUAGUUCGCGUGAUUCAUUUACGCUGAUUUUUAGUCUGUGCAAUUCGGAUGUCUUGA